RNAcentral lists this ribosomal RNA (427 nucleotides) under uncultured Bilophila sp. RNAcentral describes it as "bacterial SSU rRNA". It matches the Rfam family "Bacterial small subunit ribosomal RNA", at positions 356 to 774 of the family's 1533-position model. The record is from RNAcentral. Lineage: Bacteria; Pseudomonadati; Thermodesulfobacteriota; Desulfovibrionia; Desulfovibrionales; Desulfovibrionaceae.
GGGGAAUAUUGCGCAAUGGGCGAAAGCCUGACGCAGCGACGCCGCGUGAGGGAUGAAGGUUCUCGGAUCGUAAACCUCUGUCAGGGGGGAAGAAACCCCCUCGUGUGAAUAAUGCGAGGGCUUGACGGUACCCCCAAAGGAAGCACCGGCUAACUCCGUGCCAGCAGCCGCGGUAAUACGGAGGGUGCAAGCGUUAAUCGGAAUCACUGGGCGUAAAGCGCACGUAGGCGGCUUGGUAAGUCAGGGGUGAAAUCCCACAGCCCAACUGUGGAACUGCCUUUGAUACUGCCAGGCUUGAGUACCGGAGAGGGUGGCGGAAUUCCAGGUGUAGGAGUGAAAUCCGUAGAUAUCUGGAGGAACACCGGUGGCGAAGGCGGCCACCUGGACGGUAACUGACGCUGAGGUGCGAAAGCGUGGGUAGCAAACA